Long non-coding RNA from Aedes albopictus (Asian tiger mosquito), 1419 nucleotides. RefSeq lists it as uncharacterized. The transcript is spliced from 3 exons. Lineage: Eukaryota; Metazoa; Arthropoda; Insecta; Diptera; Culicidae. The record is from RefSeq and is a predicted model, not a curated record.
GGUGUGUUCAAGAAGUUAGUUUAGCUAGGCAGAUAGUGCAUAGUGCGAUUUUGGCGGUUUUCUGGUGCGAGCGUAGACUUGCGGAUAAAGCGAUUUGUGGCAAGUUGCGGAAGCCCGGCACACCACCACCCCCCGUUUUAAGAACGACCGUUUUCGUCCCGCCCUCCUGCUACGAAGACGUGUACCCGGCGGUACACGUGGCCGGAGAGGGCAGCGUACGUUAUUCCCGCGCCCUAGGCAGGGCAGUAGCAACGGGUCCGGCUUUGAGCCGGCCAUCGUCAAUUUUGAAAGUGUCCCGAGUGGAAACCAGCGUCCAAAAAGUUUUUUCGUUCGGAUUCGAUCCGGCGACGACCAGCGUGGCAAGCACGACCGAGUCCACUACACCACCGGCGGUGACGAUCGUCGGUGCGACGGCCGUACCCCGUCGAGAAGACCACAGAUCCCCGUGGGAGGCGCCGUUUGAGAACGGCCACACCAGCGUAGUCGAGUAGGUGAUUCCCACCAGGAGUCAACGGGAGAGCGCGUGUUGCACGCGCGCAGAAUUGCACCGUAGCCGCAAAUGCCCCCACGUAGAUAGACAGCGUCCAAACCGUAAGUAGCAUGCAUGCUUUCUUUUUCCCAUGCGCAUGGUGAGAUCCUGCCCCUAGCCUUAGCCAAUCUAGCUAGCGUGGCCGCUGCAAAUUAGCCUCUACCGUUAGCCAUACGCGUAAGCGCCCGGCAGUAGGCUGCAGCAUAAAGUUUGAGUUGCCCCUUGGCGAAUGAAUACCGCACCGCACUUUGCCUGAGAACCGCACGAAUGAACUGUUAGCUAGGGAGUGAGAGGGAAAUGAAUUAGAAUAGGCCUAGAAUAAGUAUCUGAAUUCGAUGUCGAUAGAGUAGAAGUUUAAAUAUAGAUGCGUUGUUGAAUUGGUUACAAUAAAUGGGUUUUGAAUUACACUGCAACGCAAAUGUUUUUGUACACGAUACUGGGAGAAGUCUAAAGAGGUAGAUUUAGAGGUAUUUUCGCACUUUCGGUCGGUUUUGGUUCUUUUUAAGUAAUUUUGCUGGGGUGGUUGGCCCUGUUAACCAACCAAGGAUAUUCUCUUUUCUUUUGUGGCUGGAUUGAAUGUUUUUUGAAGUAAAGUCUUCCAGUGAUGAUACCCACCGCGAAACCCAUUUUUGUCACCGGCUAAUUUCAACUUGUCGCACACUAAUUUAUAGUUUUUUUUCCACGACUUCCCAGUCGUAAGCACCUUGUUCCCCUUGAUCAGCCAACUCGUUUCCCGCCCAAUCAUUUUUGGGAAAACUUUUACCCUCCCCUAAAAGGGUCUCACAGGUCGGGCAACCUUAAAAACGGUAAAUGGUCUCCGUAAGGAGUGGCGCUUAAGCCAUUUAACUAUCAUCCGGGAAACUCGUAAGGCUGUCGGGUUACAUUUGGCG